This is a non-coding RNA of Paramuricea clavata, 311 nucleotides long. NCBI's taxonomy places the organism in Eukaryota, Metazoa, Cnidaria, Anthozoa, Malacalcyonacea, Plexauridae. The record is from the annotation of a GenBank genome assembly.
AGCAGUGACGAUAGCAACAAAUUAAAGUCACUCCUGGAAUUAAUGAUGGCGUAUUCGCCGAAGACUGCAUCAAAAACAUGGACCGUGGCGAAACAAUUAGCCAAAACCAUGCAUAUGAUUAGCAGUGGAGAAAAUUCUGUCGAAGACAGCUCGGAAUGUCAAGGUGUGGAAUUUUCGGUGCAUCUUGGACAGAUAUUGGCAAAGUCAGUGUCAGGACGUCAAGAUGUAGAUACAACUAACUGCGAAUGGAAUGAUUUGCCCACUAUUCCAACGAAAAACGAAAUUUUGAGCGGUAAAGUAUUUCAUUUAUU